CCCAGGCGCCGUCUCCCCACUCUGCGCGCCCUCGGCUGCGGGGUAGCGGGCAGCCCUGCGCUGCCGGCCGCCUAGCCUGCACCCCCCGCCCUGGGAGGGAAGCCUCGCUCCAGCCGCGUCGUUUCCGCGCCGAAGUGCGAUCCGGGGCCCCGCGCUGGAGUCCCCUGCUCUCAGGCUGGUCUGGAAGGUGGUGGUGGGGUUCAGGGUCCCCGGAAAGCUGGGGUUCCAGGGUGGCAGUUGCUGGAGUACCAGGGCACCAAGUGGAGGAUGUGGUAGACAGCCUCUAAGAUGCGCCCCCUGCCAAUGAUCUCUGCCUCCAGGGAGGAGCUAGAAGGCAGAGAGAAAGCCACUCAGGACUUCCCAUCCCAGAAGAUAAAGGUGAGGAAAGCAGCAGCAGCAGCCACAGGCCAGUAUUCCAGAGCAGCUUUGGGUUCCUGUCAAGACCUGCUUUGAGAAGGAGGUGGCUGUGGGGCUGGAGGGCUGGGCCUGUUCCUGAGCUGGCUGCUGGCAGCACAGCAAUGAGGCAACAUUGAGAACUGCGACACGAGGCCCAGUCCUGCUACUAAACCAACUGUGUGGACUUGCAUAGUCACUUCACCCCUCGGGCCUCCAUUUCUCCACUUUGGAAAGCAGUGUUGGGACGAUGUUAAGGGUUUGCAACCUUCCAACAUGAAGACUUAUUUUUAAAAGCAAAACAUUUCAAAGAGUCCACAUGACAGUAGUGUUCAUUUUGGCAUCUGUUGAUUUAACAAAUACAAAAUUAGGCUGGGUGUAGUUGCUAACGCCUGUAAUUCCAGCACUUUGGGAGACCGAGGCAGGAGGAUCACCUGAAAUCAGGAGUUCGAGACCAGCCUGGCCAACAUGGUGGAACUCCAUCACUACC
This 883-nucleotide long non-coding RNA is filed under the name Homo sapiens (human). RNAcentral's name for it is "long non-coding RNA NONHSAT168631.1". The record is from RNAcentral. Lineage: Eukaryota; Metazoa; Chordata; Mammalia; Primates; Hominidae.